UCCGGUUUGUCAUCGGCAGUCUCCCAUGAGUCCCCAACUUAAUGAUGGCAACAUAGGACAGGGGUUGCGCUCGUUGCGGGACAUAACCCAACAUCUCACGACACGAGCUGACGACAACCAUGCACCACCUGUUUACGAGUGUCCAAAGAGUUGACCAUUUCUGGCCCGUUCUCGUAUAUGUCAAGCCUUGGUAAGGUUCUUCGCGUUGCAUCGAAUUAAUCCGCAUGCUCCGCCGCUUGUGCGGGUCCCCGUCAAUUCCUUUGAGUUUUAGCCUUGCGGCCGUACUCCCCAGGCGGGGUGCUUAAUGCGUUAGCUGCGGCACGGAGGACGUGGAAGUCCCCCACACCUAGCACCCACCGUUUACGGCGUGGACUAC
RNAcentral lists this unclassified non-coding RNA (376 nucleotides) under uncultured Actinomycetes bacterium. RNAcentral's name for it is "uncultured actinobacterium contains 16S-23S intergenic spacer region". Lineage: Bacteria; Bacillati; Actinomycetota; Actinomycetes. The record is from RNAcentral.